Long non-coding RNA from Ylistrum balloti, 742 nucleotides. RefSeq lists it as uncharacterized. The transcript has 6 exons. The record is from RefSeq and is a predicted model, not a curated record. NCBI's taxonomy places the organism in Eukaryota, Metazoa, Mollusca, Bivalvia, Pectinida, Pectinidae.
AUAAAUGAGGAAUAACUUUCAAUUCAGUUUACUCAAAGCUCGCACAAGAGAUUCAAGUAGAAAAUAAAUAGUUUGGUCAACAAAACAAUAGUGGAUGGAUUACAAACUCAGACAGAUCAGCAUAGAUAUAAUCACUACCGAAGCAGAGACGGAUUAUAAAUGAGGAAUAACUUUCAAUACAGUUUACUCAAAGCUCGCACAAGAGAUUCAAGUAGAAAAUAAAUAGUUUGGUCAACAAAACAAUAGUGGAUGGAUUACAAACUCAGACAGAUCAGCAUAGAUAUAAUCACUACCGAAGCAGAGACGGAUUAUAAAUGAGGAAUAACUUUCAAUACAGUUUACUCAAAGCUCGCACAAGAGAUUCAAGUAGAAAAUAAAUAGUUUGGUCAACAAAACAAUAGUGGAUGGAUUACAAACUCAGACAGAUCAGCAUAGAUAUAAUCACUACCGAAGCAGAGACGGAUUAUAAAUGAGGAAUAACUUUCAAUACAGUUUACUCAAAGCUCGCACAAGAGAUUCAAGUAGAAAAUAAAUAGUUUGGUCAACAAAACAAUAGUGGAUGGAUUACAAACUCAGACAGAUCAGCAUAGAUAUAAUCACUACCGAAGCAGAGACGGAUUAUAAAUGAGGAAUAACUUUCAAUACAGUUUACUCAAAGCUCGCACAAGAGAUUCAAGUAGAAAAUAAAUAGUUUGGUCAACAAAACAAUAGUGGAUGGAUUACAAACUCAGACAGAUCAGCA